RNAcentral lists this ribosomal RNA (153 nucleotides) under uncultured bacterium. RNAcentral's name for it is "partial 16S ribosomal RNA". It matches the Rfam family "Bacterial small subunit ribosomal RNA", at positions 194 to 334 of the family's 1533-position model. The record is from RNAcentral.
AUUAGGAGGAAAGGUGGCCUCUUCAUGAAAGCUACCGUGUAGGGAUGAGCCUGCGUACCAUUAGCUAGUAGGUGGGUAAUGGCCCACCUAGGCUACGAUGGUUAGCGGGUCUGAGAGGAUGAUCCGCCACACUGGAACUGGAACACGGACCAG